Molecule: non-coding RNA, 387 nt
Organism: Pelodiscus sinensis (Chinese soft-shelled turtle)
Lineage: Eukaryota; Metazoa; Chordata; Testudines; Trionychidae
Source: RefSeq, a predicted model, not a curated record
CUUGCAUCAUCACAUGGCUCAGGAUUGUGGUCCAACAAAGAGAGGUCUUCACAUCAAUGUACUAGAACUGCGGGUGCAGCUAAGGAUCUAUUAUACAACAUUUGUUUGGAAAUCCAUGCCUGGAAUGUUCAGAAAUGGUUGAGCUAAGCCAACAGCAUGGCCUUUUACACAUGUGUCUGAAGAUAAGGUAGUAGAGGUGGUGAUUUACCCGCAGACAGAAAAAAGGAUAGUGCCAUUGGAAAAACAAGGACAUUCACAGCCAAAUUACUUACCAAAUAAGAUGAAGGAAAAAGAAUUAGCUCUGGCUUCUGAAGCUGCAUGUGCCAGAUUUGCCCAUGUAAUCAGCUGGAAGUACAAAGUGCAUUGCUUUGUUUAUUCUCAUGCACA